AUGAAAUCUUAAUAUUAAAAGGACUAAAAGCUAAAGUUUGUUAACAACUGUGUAACCUUUAUUUGCCUUUGAAAUAUUUUAGUAAAACAUUCUUGAAGCUUUCAGGGAAGACCUGUAGACUUAAGUACUUUCUCUGCUUUUUUGUAUCUGGUCUUGGACACAUGCUAAGUUAUGUUCUUAUUAUUUUCACUGUUUGUAAGCUAUUGAUUGUAUAUAAUCUUUAAACCAUCCAAAUAUCCAGCAUACAUUUCCAUGUCACCACAACCCACUAUUGACGCCAUGAAUGAAAUAGCUGGUUAGAAAGCCAAAGGUCGUCAUUUCUCAAUCCCUAAAUGAAGAAGUAAAAUGCCUGAUCUCUUUCAUCUCAAAGCAUAUUUCUGGUCAAAUCUGAAUAUCUGUGUGAAGGAAAGAGACAUUUAAAUUUGAGAUUCUGCUUAAACUUUUAAGUUGAAUUUGACUAUAGCCAUAUUCAUUCUUUGUAUGUAUCUCUAACAGGUCUUUUGUAUGCCUGGUGAUAUUAUAAUCUGUCUUGAGUUUGGACAGUUCUUUCAGCUAAAUGUGAAUUCUUAUUGUAGCUUUUUUCCCCUCCUGAAGAUGAAAGCAGAAAAAUCUACCAUCUGCUACCAUUCUCUCAAGAAUGCUUGGUAACAUAGAUUAUUUUGACUUUGUAUAUAUUGUCUUUAAAAACUGACAGCAGCAGUCUCCCCUGCUGCCCCACCUUUUUAAGAUAUCUCGUUUACUGUGCUGGGUAUAUAGACAAUAAAUGUGUAAUGAUAGACAGUUCUAAAAGAAUUAAGUGCAAAAAAGUGCUUUUACCUCUAGUUAACUCUGAUAUUUUCCAGAGGGCCCCUGGAACAUGUCAGAAGAAUUUUUUCUCAUUAGAGAAAGUAUUUGACUAAUUUGGCUUAUUUAUCUGAUAUAUAUAUAUUUACCAGGAAAGCACUGUCAAAGAGAAUAAUGCUAAACUUUGUUACUGAAUGUUUUGUAUUACAGAAAUAUCAGAAUUUCCUUAUGUCAACUGUCUUACAGUGAGCUCUCGUCAGAUCUUUGACCAUUGUCAUUUGUAAGUUUUUUGUCAUUUAUAGUCACUGUUUUGUUGUUCCUGGACUGGUAAAGAACUGGAUUUCAGCAGAACAGGUAUUAGUUGCAUAAGAUUACAUAAACUAAAGAAAAUGGUUUUGUGUCUUUUUGUUUCGAAUGUUGCUGAUAGUGUUUUGAGCUUGUUCUCUUAAGCUGACAACAGUUUAGUAGAUGGCUGUCUUUAUAAGCAGAAUUGAGACAUCCUUCUCUCUACCUGAUCCCUACAGAGUUUAAAAACUUUUAGUGACUGUUUUUGUAUUCCAUGGCAGUAUGUUUAUUUGCAUGAGUUUAGUAAGAAUCUGCUUUCCUUGUGAGAAGACUAAUUAAGAACACUGGUUAUACUGCCAGGGCUUUGGCUGGAAUGUCAUACCUGAGAGACAUGUGCAUGGACUCAGAUGUGAACAACUUUAAGGAACUAAGAUUGACUUUAUAGGGCCAACAAAGCCCCUUGGAAGAACUAGCCUGGUACCUUGCUUGCAGAGUUCCCAGCAGCCUUACCAGGUGAGUAAAGAAAGUCGCUUCCUGGCAGGUGCAGAGACCUCGAGAAGAGAGGAAUUCAUCCAAAUCUACAGGUACUGCAGGCAAAGCCUGAUGGCAGGUCUGGCUUGGCUGUCUAGCCUCAAGAGGCCUUUAAAAGUUCAAUCUGAAGUUCCUUGCAAAAAGUUCCAGCAAAGCAUAUUUAAAAGACCCUGUGUAAUCAAUUGCUCUUCUUGCUGCACUUGUGCAAAUAAUCAAGCUAGCUGUUAAUUAUUUUCUUAACCUAGUUACUUCUAAUAAAAAUGAAAGUGAUUUUAAAGUAUUGUUUCAAUAAUGCAGCCUCCUUCCAGAAUAAAAAAUCCAACUCCAGAUGUUGCUACAUAACCUAAUAACACAAUUUGUUUUAUCUUGCCUAGAAGCCACAAAACUGCAAAUAGUAAUAGAAACGAAAC
Molecule: long non-coding RNA, 2009 nt
Organism: Manis pentadactyla (Chinese pangolin)
Lineage: Eukaryota; Metazoa; Chordata; Mammalia; Pholidota; Manidae
Exons: 2
Source: RefSeq, a predicted model, not a curated record